Molecule: ribosomal RNA, 754 nt
Filed under: uncultured Actinomyces sp.
Lineage: Bacteria; Bacillati; Actinomycetota; Actinomycetes; Actinomycetales; Actinomycetaceae
Description: bacterial SSU rRNA
Rfam family: Bacterial small subunit ribosomal RNA
Source: RNAcentral
GACGAACGCAGGCGGCGUGCUUAACACAUGCAAGUCGAACGCUGAAGGCUCAGCUUGCUGGGCUGGAUGAGUGGCGAACGGGUGAGUAACACGUGAGUAACCUGCCCUCUUCUUUGGGAUAACGGUCGGAAACGGCUGCUAAUACCGGGUAUUCACUGUCCUUCGCAUGGGGGGUGGUGGAAAGGGUUUUUUCUGGUGGGGGAUGGGCUCGCGGCCUAUCAGCUUGUUGGUGGGGUGAUGGCCUACCAAGGCUUUGACGGGUAGCCGGCCUGAGAGGGUGACCGGUCACAUUGGGACUGAGAUACGGCCCAGACUCCUACGGGGGGCAGCAGUGGGGAAUAUUGCACAAUGGGCGAAAGCCUGAUGCAGCGACGCCGCGUGAGGGAUGGAGGCCUUCGGGUUGUAAACCUCUUUCGCUCAUGGUCAAGCCGCAGCUUUGGGUUGUGGUGAGGGUAGUGGGUAAAGAAGCGCCGGCUAACUACGUGCCAGCAGCCGCGGUAAUACGUAGGGCGCGAGCGUUGUCCGGAAUUAUUGGGCGUAAAGGGCUUGUAGGCGGUUGGUCGCGUCUGCCGUGAAAUCCUCUGGCUUAACUGGGGGCGUGCGGUGGGUACGGGCUGACUUGAGUGCGGUAGGGGAGACUGGAACUCCUGGUGUAGCGGUGGAAUGCGCAGAUAUCAGGAAGAACACCGGUGGCGAAGGCGGGUCUCUGGGCCGUUACUGACGCUGAGGAGCGAAAGCGUGGGGAGCGAACAGG